UUCCGUAGGGUGAACCUGCGGAGGGAUCAUUACACAAAUAUGAAGGCGGGCUGGAACCUCUCGGGGUUACAGCCUUGCUGAAUUAUUCACCCUUGUCUUUUGCGUACUUCUUGUUUCCUUGGUGGGUUCGCCCACCACUAGGACAAACAUAAACCUUUUGUAAUUGCAAUCAGCGUCAGUAACAAAUUAAUAAUUACAACUUUCAACAACGGAUCUCUUGGUUCUGGCAUCGAUGAAGAACGCAGCGAAAUGCGAUAAGUAGUGUGAAUUGCAGAAUUCAGUGAAUCAUCGAAUCUUUGAACGCACAUUGCGCCCUUUGGUAUUCCAAAGGGCAUGCCUGUUCGAGCGUCAUUUGUACCCUCAAGCUUUGCUUGGUGUUGGGCGUCUUGUCUCUAGCUUUGCUGGAGACUCGCCUUAAAGUAAUUGGCAGCCGGCCUACUGGUUUCGGAGCGCAGCACAAGUCGCACUCUCUAUCAGCAAAGGUCUAGCAUCCAUUAAGCCUUUUUUUCAACUUUUGACCUCGGAUCAGGUAGGGAUACCCGCUGAACUUAAGCAUAUCAAUAAG
This 565-nucleotide ribosomal RNA is filed under the name Alternaria alternata. Its description in RNAcentral is "eukaryotic LSU rRNA". The stretch from base 198 to 351 matches the Rfam family "5.8S ribosomal RNA". Lineage: Eukaryota; Fungi; Ascomycota; Dothideomycetes; Pleosporales; Pleosporaceae. The record is from RNAcentral.